UACAGAGGUCUCAAGCGUUGUUCGGAUUCAUUGGGCGUAAAGGGUGCGUAGGCGGCGCGGUAAGUCGGGUGUGAAAUCUCGGAGCUUAACUCCGAAACUGCAUUCGAUACUGCCGUGCUUGAGGACUGGAGAGGAGACUGGAAUUUACGGUGUAGCGGUGAAAUGCGUAGAUAUCGUAAGGAAGACCAGUGGCGAAGGCAGUGCCCUGGGAGGCAACUGACGCUGAGGUGCGAAAGCCAGGGGAGCGAACGGG
Molecule: ribosomal RNA, 253 nt
Filed under: uncultured bacterium
Lineage: Bacteria
Description: partial 16S ribosomal RNA
Rfam family: Bacterial small subunit ribosomal RNA
Source: RNAcentral